UACGAGGGGUGCAAACGUUAUUCGGAAUCACUGGGCGUAAAGGGUGCGUAGACGGCGAAUCAAGUCAAUUAUUAAAUCUCCUAGCUUAACUAGGAAUCUGUAAUUGAGACUGAUUUGCUUGAGGAUGGAAGAGAGAAGUGGAAUUCUCGGAGUAGCGGUAAAAUGCGUAGAUCUCGAGAGGAACACCGAUGGCGAAGGCAGCUUCUUGGUCCAUUUCUGACGUUGAGGCACGAAAGCGUGGGGAGCAAACAGG
RNAcentral lists this ribosomal RNA (253 nucleotides) under uncultured bacterium. RNAcentral's name for it is "partial 16S ribosomal RNA". It matches the Rfam family "Bacterial small subunit ribosomal RNA", at positions 524 to 776 of the family's 1533-position model. The record is from RNAcentral.